RNAcentral lists this ribosomal RNA (119 nucleotides) under Lepisosteus oculatus (spotted gar). Lineage: Eukaryota; Metazoa; Chordata; Actinopteri; Semionotiformes; Lepisosteidae. The record is from RNAcentral.
GCCAGCAGCCAUAUUACUCUGCAACUCAUAACUAGCAGCCCACUAAAACAAAGCAGGUGUGAGCCUGGUCAGUACCUGGAUGGGAGACCUCCAGGGAAAACCUAAGGUUGCUGCUGCAA